Molecule: long non-coding RNA, 918 nt
Organism: Homo sapiens (human)
Lineage: Eukaryota; Metazoa; Chordata; Mammalia; Primates; Hominidae
Gene: RBMS3-AS2
Product: RBMS3 antisense RNA 2
Source: Ensembl
GUGGCACCAUCUCAGCUCAUUGCAACCUCCGCCUCCCCGGUUCAAGCGAUUCUCCUGCCUCAGCCUCCCGAGUAGCUGGGAUUACAGGCACCCGCCACCAUGCCCACAGGAAGGAGAAUCCAGUCAUGGAAUAUUAUGGUGGUAAUUGCUUCCAACUGGAACCAGUUAUCAAAAUGUGGCAGGAAAAUCUGGCCUGGUGAAGAAAGAGAAGGUGGCGAAGCUGACUCAGUUCAAGUUCAAGAUCUGCUAUUAAUGUGCUGUCACUGAACACAAAUCAUUACAUUUCCCUGAGCUUCAGUUUUGUUUUUCAAAUUGGAAUAAUUGGAUAAUUAGAUCUCUAAAGCAUACAUCAUCAGUAGAAAAUGAGCAACUUCUCAUUUGGCCUAACACUUUGAGUGGGAAAAUAAACUCAUUUAUGUAUAGUGAUAUUCUACUACUCCCUUAUAGAGUAAACAGUUACGUAAAUGCAAGUCAUUUUGAUUUUUCACAGAAUAGGAUCCCUUUAAAAUAGAUCUAUAUCAAGUCUCAUCCACAAUUAUUUUCUCACAGCUCUGUAUUAUUUGACUGACACACUUUGAAAACAUAGUUUCCAGAGAUCUCACAUAUUUAUUUUAUAUUUAUCUCUUUAACAAGCUAGAAUUUAUACUGAUAUAUGAGAUAAGGCUAUUAGCAAAUUUAAUUUAAUUUUUCUACAGUUUUCAACCAGUUGUUCCCGUGCUAAAUAGUCCAUCCUUCUCCCAUUGAUUUAUUGUAUCAACUUAAUAAAUUUUUAUUUUAUUUUUGUUUCAUAAUAUGUAUACAUUGUGGAAUGGCUAAACAAAGCUAAUUAAUAUAUGCAUUGCCUCACAUAUUUAUCAUUUUGUGGUGAGAACAUUUCAAAUCUACUCUUCCAGCAAUUUUCAAGUAUAUAAUAAAUUG